CGGGGGAAAGAUUUAUCGGCAAAGGAUCGGCCCGCGUUGGAUUAGGUAGUUGGUGGGGUAAUGGCUCACCAAGCCGACGAUCCAUAGCUGGUUUGAGAGGAUGAUCAGCCACACUGGGACUGAGACACGGCCCAGACUCCUACGGGAGGCAGCAGUGGGGAAUCUUAGACAAUGGGCGCAAGCCUGAUCUAGCCAUGCCGCGUGAGCGAUGAAGGCCUUAGGGUUGUAAAGCUCUUUCGUGGGGGAAGAUAAUGACUGUACCCCAAGAAGAAGCCCCGGCUAACUCCGUGCCAGCAGCCGCGGUAAUACGGAGGGGGCUAGCGUUGUUCGGAAUUACUGGGCGUAAAGCGCACGUAGGCGGACCGGAAAGUCAGAGGUGAAAUCCCAGGGCUCAACCUUGGAACUGCCUUUGAAACUCCCGGUCUUGAGUUCGAGAGAGGUGAGUGGAAUUCCGAGUGUAGAGGUGAAAUUCGUAGAUAUUCG
RNAcentral lists this ribosomal RNA (483 nucleotides) under uncultured bacterium. RNAcentral's name for it is "bacterial SSU rRNA". It matches the Rfam family "Bacterial small subunit ribosomal RNA", at positions 197 to 700 of the family's 1533-position model. The record is from RNAcentral.